AGAGUUUGAUCCUGGCUCAGAUUGAACGCUGGCGGCAUGCUUUACACAUGCAAGUCGAACGGCAGCACGGGGGCAACCCUGGUGGCGAGUGGCGAACGGGUGAGUAAUAUAUCGGAACGUACCCAGGAGUGGGGGAUAACGUAGCGAAAGUUACGCUAAUACCGCAUACGUCCUACGGGAGAAAGCAGGGGACCGCAAGGCCUUGCGCUCAUGGAGCGGCCGAUAUCUGAUUAGCUAGUUGGUGGGGUAAAGGCUCACCAAGGCAACGAUCAGUAGCUGGUCUGAGAGGACGACCAGCCACACUGGGACUGAGACACGGCCCAGACUCCUACGGGAGGCAGCAGUGGGGAAUUUUGGACAAUGGGGGCAACCCUGAUCCAGCAAUGCCGCGUGAGUGAAGAAGGCCUUCGGGUUGUAAAGCUCUUUUGUCAGGGNAAGAAAAGGAGCCGGCUAAUACCCGGUUCUGCUGACGGUACCUGAAGAAUAAGCACCGGCUAACUACGUGCCAGCAGCCGCGGUAAUACGUAGGGUGCAAGCGUUAAUCGGAAUUACUGGGCGUAAAGCGUGCGCAGGCGGUUUUGUAGGUCUGUCGUGAAAUCCCCGGGCUUAACCUGGGAAUGGCGAUGGAGACUGCAAGGCUGGAGUUUGGCAGAGGGGGGUAGAAUCCACGUGUAGCAGUGAAAUGCGUANAGAUGUGGGAGGAACACCGAUGGCGAAGGCAGCC
Molecule: ribosomal RNA, 724 nt
Filed under: uncultured bacterium
Lineage: Bacteria
Description: bacterial SSU rRNA
Rfam family: Bacterial small subunit ribosomal RNA
Source: RNAcentral